UGAGGAAUAUUGGUCAAUGGGCGAGAGCCUGAACCAGCCAAGUCGCGUGAAGGAAGACUGCCUUAUGGGUUGUAAACUUCUUUUAUACAGGAAUAAAAAGGCUUACGUGUAGGCCAUUGCAAGUACUGUAUGAAUAAGCAUCGGCUAACUCCGUGCCAGCAGCCGCGGUAAUACGGAGGAUGCGAGCGUUAUCCGGAUUUAUUGGGUUUAAAGGGUGCGCAGGCGGGCUUUUAAGUCAGCGGUGAAAUCUGGACGCUUAACGUCCAAACUGCCGUUGAAACUGGGAGUCUUGAGUAUGGAUGAAGUAGGCGGAAUUCGUUGUGUAGUGGUGACAUGCAUAGAUAUAACGAGGAACUCCGAUUGCGUAGGCAGCUUACUAAGCCAUAACUGACGCUCAUGCACGAAAGCGUGGGGAUCAAACAGGAUUAGAUACCCUGGUAGUCCACGCCGUAAACGAUGAUUACUAGUUGUAUGCGAUAUGAUAGUAUGUGACUAAGCGAAAGCGAUAAGUAAUCCACCUGGGGAGUACGCCGGCAACGGUGAAACUCAAAGGAAUUGACGGGGUCAUAGCUGUUUCCUG
Molecule: ribosomal RNA, 580 nt
Filed under: uncultured bacterium
Lineage: Bacteria
Description: partial 16S ribosomal RNA
Rfam family: Bacterial small subunit ribosomal RNA
Source: RNAcentral